CUCUGACCUCAAAUCAGGUAGGACUACCCGCUGAACUUAAGCAUAUCAAUAAGCGGAGGAAAAGAAACUAACAAGGAUUCCCUUAGUAGCGGCGAGCGAAGCGGGAUGAGCUCAAAUUUGAAAUCUGGCGUCUUUCAGGCGUCCGAGUUGUAAUCUAUAGAAGCGUUUUCUGUGCUGGACCGUGUCCAAGUCCCUUGGAACAGGGUAUCAAAGAGGGUGACAAUCCCGUACUUGACACGACCACCAGUGCUCUGUGAUACGUUUUCUACGAGUCGAGUUGUUUGGGAAUGCAGCUCAAAAUGGGUGGUAAAUUCCAUCUAAAGCUAAAUAUUGGCGAGAGACCGAUAGCGAACAAGUACCGUGAGGGAAAGAUGAAAAGCACUUUGGAAAGAGAGUUAAACAGUACGUGAAAUUGUUGAAAGGGAAACGAUUGAAGUCAGUCGUGUCUAUUGGUUUCAGCCGGUUCUGCCGGUGUAUUACCUUUAGACGGGUCAACAUCAGUUUUGGACGGCGGAUAAUAGCAGUUUGAAUGUAUCACCUCCGGGUGUGUUAUAGCUUUCUGUUGCAUACGCUGUCCGAGACUGAGGACUGCAGCUUGCCGCAAGGCCGGGGUUUCGACCCACGUACGAGCUAGG
This 635-nucleotide ribosomal RNA is filed under the name Derxomyces komagatae. RNAcentral describes it as "LSU rRNA". It matches the Rfam family "Eukaryotic large subunit ribosomal RNA", at positions 1 to 611 of the family's 3401-position model. The record is from RNAcentral. Lineage: Eukaryota; Fungi; Basidiomycota; Tremellomycetes; Tremellales; Bulleribasidiaceae.